Molecule: small RNA, 587 nt
Filed under: Pongo abelii (Sumatran orangutan)
Lineage: Eukaryota; Metazoa; Chordata; Mammalia; Primates; Hominidae
Description: sense overlapping
Source: RNAcentral
ACUCAGCUCUCACGCAAACUACAAACCAAAGGGCUGGUCUCACUCUCACUGGGUACCCCCAACAGCCCCAAGUCUGUUUACAGAUGGUGGGCGAGAUGGGCUUGAGAACUUGCCUCAGGCUACCCACCUCCCAGCUGCGAAAGAAAAGGGCUGUGAAAUCUGCACACUGGGAUUUGCACCCUCCCCCAAGUUCUGGCCAUGAGGUUUCUCACCGCGUUCUCACCCUGUCCAAAUUGUUACAAAGUUCACCUAGAGAUUUCCUCCUUCCUGUGGAGUUUUACCCUCUGCUCCUCUGGCUUCCCUCCUGAUGGAUCCUUGUGAUGCCAGGCAGGAAUGAACUGUUUGGGGACCCAGCGAGUUCCCAGGGCCUUUCUGCUGCUUCUUCUACCCCUGUAUUUCACCCAGUUCUCUAAAUUGACUCAUCUCAAGCCAUUACGUGUGAGUGCAUCUUCAUCCACCUUGGCGAGGCUAGUGUCUCGAUUGGCAAUGCCUGCCAGGAGCUCUACUACCUGGAACACAGCAUCCAGCGCGAUAGCCCAAUGCCAAGUGACAAGACCACUGGGUAAGGAGAUAAUUGAUUCUACGCC